AAUUGUGGCCGUAGCGGGAGUCGGUGAGUUAGCCGCUUUCAUAGGGAGCCCCCGAGCAGACGGUGCGCCGUAUCGUGUUCAUUUUGCAUUGGCUGUGCAAUUGAUGCCUAGCCGGCAUUGUGCGUGCAGUUUGUGCUUGUGGGAAAAAGGUUGUUCACGACAUGGCAAGCUGUUUGGGAUGGCAAACUGUGGCACGGUGAGCUUGCUGCAUUUGGUGCCUACGUGCCUAGCGGGGCGUGCUUGGGUGUUUUGGUUGCUAAUUGUUGCUUGCAAUGCUGGAAUGCAUUGUGUGGCUGCGAAUAGUUGCCUUUUCGUCCGGGCAUCGUGUACGUAUGGUGCGUGAGUGGUGAUUGGCUUGUAAUGGAACGUUGGAUCCCUGCCUGGGCAGCGACGGCGUGCCUUGCUAGCCUCUUCAGUUGGCGGCCCAAGUACGUGUUGACGUUGGGUGCUUUCGGUUUCCUGUGUUGUAUACCUAUCGUGUGGGCAUUCAAUCGGUUACAAACGUCCCGUUUCUGCCUUGUGCUGCGCCUCUUGGGGCUGCGGCUCGGGGUGAACCCCAAAGCAUUCGCCGUGUUCCACUCCCCGUGCAUUCUGACGCGUGUUCGGGUUGUUGGGCCAUGGCGUGUUGCUCGGUCUCUUGGAUGCGGAAAAUCAAGUGGGCACGAGGCCCUUGGCCCCUAUUUGUCCCGAAACUAAGCAUUCUAUGCUUUGUGCGAACGACGACCGUUGCCACUUUGAUCGAGUCCUCGUGGCUUCGAUCACGUGGUGCCGGCGCCGAUGAGGAAUGCU
This 789-nucleotide unclassified non-coding RNA is filed under the name Callichlamys latifolia. Its description in RNAcentral is "partial external transcribed spacer". Lineage: Eukaryota; Viridiplantae; Streptophyta; Magnoliopsida; Lamiales; Bignoniaceae. The record is from RNAcentral.